CGCCGCGCGAGCAAGGCCUGGACGCCGCUGCCUCGGAGAGCUUCCCAAGGAGACGCGUCCCCAGGGGUGCGAGGGGCUGGCAGAAAAAUCAGCGGGCUCUACCUGAAAAUAUAUCCAGAAUCUGAUUUGAUCACCAUUCACCACAGCAGCGCUUAUUUCCCGUGAAAAAAUGCCACUGCCUCUCACCCAGAUUGUCACAGUGGUCUCCUUGCAGCCCUUCCGUGUCCACCCUGCCCUGCUCAAUACAGCAGCCAAGGUCUGCAUGUUGGCUGAUAAUUUACAAGUAAGGAAGCUGAGCCCAGAAGGUGGGUGAUGGGCCCAGGUCACCCAGCUCGAGGCUGCUGCGGCACUGUGAGUCCCACACCGAAUCUCUGGAUGCAGAGGCCGGGUUUGCCAACACAACUCUCUGCCGUUCCUGUAGCGCCAGAGUGGUGGAGCUCUGCCUUACCAAACACAAGUGUGCGCAAAAUAAUGACAGAGAAGCUAUUUUUAUUUAAAGCCGUAGAAGUCUCACACAGCGCGGGGACAGAGCUGCCUUUAAGGUCUGUGCUUGAGAAGCUCCGAGACAAUGUGGUACUUGGUGAAUGGAGGACGUCCUGCGGUUUCAGAAUCGUGCCAAGAGCAAAGUAAUGAAGAAGUAGAGGCAUUUCAUCUGAUUUAGAGAAGACAAGAGAGGAUAUAUAUCAAUCACCUUAUACGCAGAAUUAAGUGGUUUUACAAGAGGAAAUAAUAUUGUUCUGUUUCACCAUAAAAAUAGAAACGCCAUUAAUA
Molecule: non-coding RNA, 771 nt
Organism: Microcebus murinus (gray mouse lemur)
Lineage: Eukaryota; Metazoa; Chordata; Mammalia; Primates; Cheirogaleidae
Source: RefSeq, a predicted model, not a curated record